This 186-nucleotide non-coding RNA is filed under the name Paracoccus seriniphilus. Lineage: Bacteria; Pseudomonadati; Pseudomonadota; Alphaproteobacteria; Rhodobacterales; Paracoccaceae. The record is from RNAcentral.
GCUAAGUGAUGUGGCUAUGGUGCCAAUGACAUCCGUCAGAGGUGAAAAGGGAAGUCGGUGAAAAGCCGGCACUGCCCCCGCAACUGUAAGCGGUCGGAUCGACUGAUGAAGCCACUGGAUCACUCCGGGAAGGCCGGUUGUCCCAUGUCCGCGAGUCAGGAGACCUGCCAUGGCAAAAAACGACUA